UACGUAGGGGGCUAGCGUUGUCCGGAUUUAUUGGGCGUAAAGAGCGUGUAGGCGGCCAGAUAGGUCUGCUGUGAAAACUCGAGGCUCAACCUCGAGAUGUCGGCGGAAACCAUUUGGCUAGAGUCCGGAAGAGGAAAGUGGAAUUCCUGGUGUAGCGGUGAAAUGCGCAGAUAUCAGGAAGAACACCCGUGGCGAAGGCGGCCUUCUGGGACGGUACUGACGCUGAGACGCGAAAGCGUGGGGAGCGAACAGG
Molecule: ribosomal RNA, 253 nt
Filed under: uncultured bacterium
Lineage: Bacteria
Description: partial 16S ribosomal RNA
Rfam family: Bacterial small subunit ribosomal RNA
Source: RNAcentral